AAAAACCCUUCAAAAAGCCAUUUUUGAGCUCUGAACCAGCCAUUUCUGAGAUCCAGUUGAAGCCAGAUGAUCAAUUUGUUAUAUUUGCAUCAGAUGGGUUGUGGGAGCACCUUAGCAAUCAGGAAGCAGUCGAUAUAGUUCAUAGCCACUCUCAAAAUGGAAGUGCAAGAAGACUGGUCAGAGCUGCUCUUCAAGUAGCUGCAAAGAAAAGAGAAAUGAGGUACUCAGAUUUG
Molecule: unclassified non-coding RNA, 233 nt
Filed under: Hevea brasiliensis (rubber tree)
Lineage: Eukaryota; Viridiplantae; Streptophyta; Magnoliopsida; Malpighiales; Euphorbiaceae
Source: RNAcentral